This 253-nucleotide ribosomal RNA is filed under the name uncultured bacterium. RNAcentral describes it as "partial 16S ribosomal RNA". It matches the Rfam family "Bacterial small subunit ribosomal RNA", at positions 524 to 776 of the family's 1533-position model. The record is from RNAcentral.
UACAGAGGUGUCAAGCGUUGUUCGGAUUUAUUGGGCGUAAAGCGUGCGUAGGCGGCGAGGUAAGUGAGAUGUGAAAUCCCACGGCUUAACCAUGGAAGUGCAUCCGAAACUGCAGAGCUUGAGUACUUAAGAGGAUCGCGGAAUUCCCGGUGUAGAGGUGAAAUUCGUAGAUAUCGGGAGGAACCCCAGUGGCGAAGGCGGCGAUCUGGGAAGAUACUGACGCUGAGGUGCGAAAGCGUGGGGAGCAAACAGG